CCACGUUUGGUCGUCUCCGUCCUUGUUAUCUUCUGUACAGUGUGUUGUCGACUCCUUCGUUUCAAGCCAGUUUCUGGCCGACCACAUACUGCUUGAACUGAUGAGCUUGAACUACAUGUGCUGCUACCAUUUUGUGUUACUUGAACGGCCGCCCUGGCAUCAUCAAAAUCUUGAUUUAUUGGGUGGGCAAGGCAUGUCAUGCAGGGUAGCUGGAAGGGAGGGGAAGCUCGUUGCCUUGCCAUGGUUCUAGCGGGAGCCGGGCGGGCUGGUGUACACAGAGGAUAGAGGCCCUGGCCUCGUACGACCAGCGUUCAUGCUGCUGCAAAUGUGGUCGUUGGGGCCAGUCAAUUGGAAGAUCUGUAGCUCCUCAGUCCAACUUAUUGCUUAGCUACCGACCACUCAAAAAAUAGUAGCAUGCAGGCCACCCCGUGCUCCGCCCCCUGAUCCGGCAUUUUUGCAGUUCAACAGGGGCGCGGGGUUCAGUUUGAUGACGAUGAGCUAGGCAGCUGGCCUUCGCAUCACGAACUGGUGUCUUAGUACAACCCUACGCUACAAGGCACGCGUACAUCCACUUCAUGUGUUAGUAAAAAGUAUUGUGCAUUUGCUUGGCAGCUUUGCACUCUAGAUACAUCACUUGGUAAAUCAAAAAUAUUUUGUUGUUCACUUUUUGUGUUUUGUUCAAUAAUUCUCAUGCUUUCUUUCGUGAGGGCUACAAAUCAUAGUGCUUAAAAUACCGAUGGGUCUGUCAUACUUGAAUUAAAAAAGUUACAGGAGAAAGUACCCUAUUCCAUUACUUUGAGAAGUAUAAGUAGACCUUUCUAAAUAGUACAGUGCAGACCCGGUGUUGCCCUGCACAAAUGGAGUCUUUAGCUCACCACGCUACCUCCUCCCGUCGGUGGGGCUCCGUCGUUGCAGCGCCCCAGCCGUUCACUGCUGCCAAACCAGGCCGUUUAACAGACAGCGUCGAGCCAUUCGACACCGCAGCUUGGGAGGCUACCUGUUUUGCUGUCGAUGUUGUCUAAUUUCACUAGUGUCCUGUUUUGCUGUCGAUCCUGUCCUCGGUGUCCAUGAGCACGAGCACCCUGUAUCCGGUGGCGAGAUGAAGGCCACCUGUGAUCCCUGCUUCCCGUCAUCACCUCCACCUCGUGUGAGUUCACUGCCGAGAACAAGCACGACCACCUACAGUUCCUAGUUGUAGCCUUGGCCACCCCUUGGCCACGAGCUCGUCCACCAUGGUUACUGGCAGUCGUCCAAGUGGAGCGCGGACAUCAGUCCAAGUAGAAUCGCAGCCACCAUCUUCACCAAGCGCUGCACGGUCGUCCAAGUUGAGGACACACAAUAGUCCAAGAUGAUGUAUGAUCACUGAUGGAUUCAGCAUCUUUUAUAUUAGUUUGAAUUAUGCAAGCCAAUUCUAUGGAAGCUUGCUGGCGAUGCGGCCAGCAUGCUUUUAGUAAUAACGGCGACCACAAACAGCAUUGGCAGCCAGCACAUGCACUACAUGCUCGACUGCUCCACACUACCGCCAUGGACAUAAACAACACAGUUUGGCAAAAAUAGAAGUUUGAUAUCAGUUCACCAUUGAGAGGUAGUAAGUGCGGAGCAGAAAAAUUGUAGCAGUUCAGCAAAAAAAAGUUUACAUGUACAAACGCUUCAGCAAUCAGUAGAAGGCCACUUGAUUUACUGUCUAAUCUUGGAGAUAAAUCCAAUAUCCUAAGUUUGUGAUGGCAGGUCACUCGUAUGACGGGUCCACGACGUAUGUUUCAGAAGAUCAGUACCAUCAAUACAAACAGAUCAGUACCAUCAUAACAAAAAAGUUAGGUUUUAAGUUAUGAAUAAGAAAUAACAAAAAAGUUCAUAAAAAACCCCAGAACACCCGGUAGUUCUUGAAUCUGGGAGUUCAGGAAAAAAUGAUCCAAAAUGAGCAUCGGGAGGGUUUGAAAAAUACAUCAUGAGCAAGGAUUUAUUUCAAGCUCACUAUUUCGGCUAUAACUACAAAAAUUGAUCUCUGUACUUAUUCAUUCUGUCACUCGAUAGUUCUAUGGCUGUUAUGAUAUGAGUUGGCAUGCAAUAACUCUUGGCAUUCUUCCAUAAACAAUGAAGGGAAUGCUAAAAGGAGGGUAUGUUUUCCAAGCUGACAUCUGCAAGCCCUCAGUAGGAUAGGCAAAACGCAGAGAUAAGUUUUGACCCUGAAAACUGUAGAGUUGGGCUUCCUUGUAUUCAAGUGCUCGCAACUAAGCUUCACUUCUUGUUUGUUUGAAUUAACUGGUCCAGACGUCUCAAGCUGCUAAGGCCUACAUCUCCCUGCCAAUGUCCGAUCGCCUGUGCCGACAUGGUCGUGGAGUGCCCUGGCCGAUCACAACCACCACCGCAGGCUGUUCUACGCCACCUCCGUAGGCGGUUCAUCGUAGCAGCGACCUGGAUCCCACUGGUUCCCACUAGCGACAUCCGUUCGAGCACAUCGUCGCUGUCCUGCAGCAGCGUGGCUUAGCUACUGCACUUGGUUGAGGUCAGAGCCUUUCGAGUUGUCAAGCCCAGCCAUGGCGUGCGUCCGCUGAACGACGACAGCUUCGUGUGCGUUCCUGCAUGUGCUCAUGUGUUGUAUUGGUGUGGGUUGUGCGUGUGCUUUUCUUAUUCUAAUUGUAGUUUUCACCUGGAUGUUUUUCCGAGACAUUCAAGCAUUACUGUCUAAAAGGUGCAAUUAUGAACUCACUCAUGGGUUCAAGUUACUCACGCUGCU
This 2737-nucleotide ribosomal RNA is filed under the name Triticum aestivum (bread wheat). Its description in RNAcentral is "partial small subunit ribosomal RNA". Lineage: Eukaryota; Viridiplantae; Streptophyta; Magnoliopsida; Poales; Poaceae. The record is from RNAcentral.